RNAcentral lists this ribosomal RNA (253 nucleotides) under uncultured bacterium. Its description in RNAcentral is "partial 16S ribosomal RNA". It matches the Rfam family "Bacterial small subunit ribosomal RNA", at positions 524 to 776 of the family's 1533-position model. The record is from RNAcentral.
UACGAAGGGGGCAAGCGUUGUUCGGAUUUACUGGGCGUAAAGGGCGCGCAGGCGGCCCUUCAAGUCAGAUGUGAAAGCCCCGGGCUCAACCUGGGAACUGCAUUCGAUACUGGAUAGCUAGAGUUCGGCAGAGGGAAGCGGAAUUUCGGGUGUAGCGGUGAAAUGCGUAGAUACCUGGAGGAACACCGGUGGCGAAGGCGGCAUCCUGGACCGGCAUUGACGCUGAGGCGCGAAAGCCAGGGGAGCAAACGGG